GCUUGUCUCAAGAUUAAGCCAUGCAUGUCUAAGUAUAAAUAAUUCUAUACUGUGAAACUGCGAAUGGCUCAUUAUAUCAGUUAUAGUUUAUUUGAUAGUCAAUCACUACUUGGAUAACCGUAGUAACUCUAGAGCUAAUACAUGCGUAAAGUCCCGACUCUUUCUGGGGAGGGAUGUAUUUAUUAGAUAAAAAACCAAUGCGGGUUCUGCCCGGUUUUGUGUUGAAUCAUAGUAACUUUUCGAAUCGCAUGGCUUCACGCCGGCGAUAGUUCAUUCAAAUUUCUGCCCUAUCAGCUUUCGACGGUAGUGUAGUGGACUACCGUGGCGUUAACGGGUAACGGAGAAUUAGGGUUCGAUUCCGGAGAGGGAGCCUGAGAAACGGCUACCACAUCUAAGGAAGGCAGCAGG
This 408-nucleotide ribosomal RNA is filed under the name uncultured Cryomonadida. Its description in RNAcentral is "partial small subunit ribosomal RNA". It matches the Rfam family "Eukaryotic small subunit ribosomal RNA", at positions 30 to 432 of the family's 1831-position model. Lineage: Eukaryota; Cercozoa; Thecofilosea. The record is from RNAcentral.